Molecule: ribosomal RNA, 115 nt
Organism: Chelonoidis abingdonii (Abingdon island giant tortoise)
Lineage: Eukaryota; Metazoa; Chordata; Testudines; Testudinidae
Source: Ensembl
AUCUGCAGCCAUACCAUUUCAAGCUGUGAACGCUCAUCUCUCAUAAGCAAAACAGGAUUAGGAAAAGUCAGUGCUUGGAUGGGAAGGCUCCAGGGAAAUCUGGGUGAUGAAGAUU